AUGGCCACGAACAAGAAGCAGCCCCACGCCGUGCUCGUGCCGUUCCCGGCGCAGGGGCACGUCACGCCGAUGAUGAAGCUGGCCAAGGUCCUGCACCGCAAGGGCUUCCACAUCACCUUCGUCAACACCGAGUACAACCAGCGCCGCCUCGUCCGCUCCCGCGUCCCCGGCGCCGUGGCCGGCCUCCCGGGCUUCCGCUUCGCCACCAUCCCAGACGGCAUACCCACGUCUGAUGUCGACGCCGACGCCGAUGCCCCGCAGGACCCGGUGUCCCUCUGUUACUACACGAUGACCACCUGCCUCCCCCACUUGAAGAACCUGCUCCGCGACCUCAACGGCGCGGUUGGGGCGCCGCGGGUGAGCUGCGUCGUGGGCGAUGGCGUCAUGAGCUUCUGCAUGGAUGCCGCCGCGGACCUCGGCGUGCCGUGCGCGCUGUUCUGGACUGCCAGCGCCUGCGGCUUCAUGGGCUACCGCAACUUCCGGUUCCUCCUAGACGAGGGCCUCACCCCUCUCAAAGAUGAGGACCAAGUGAAGAACGGGUACUUGGACACGCCGGUGGCACAGGCACACGGGAUGAGCAAGCACAUGCGUCUCCGAGACUUCUCAUCCUUCGUCCGCACGACGGACCGCAGCGACAUCCUGUUCAACUUCCUGCUGCACGAGGUCGAGCAGUCGGACCGCGCGACCGCCAUCGUCCUUAACACCAUUGACGAGCUCGAGCAGACGGCCCUCGACGCCAUGCGCGCCAUCCUCCCCCUGCCCGUCUACACCAUCGGCCCGCUUAACUCACUCACCGAGCAGCUGGUCUCACAGGAAGGCGAUCUCGCCGGGAUACGCUCCAGCCUCUGGAGAGAAGACCAGUCAUGUCUCAAGUGGCUCCAGGGCAGGGAGCCCCGCUCCGUGGUGUAUGUCAACUACGGGAGCGUAACCACCAUGUCCAAGCAGGAGCUGGUGGAGUUCGCUUGGGGGCUUGCCAACUGUGGCUACGACUUCCUGUGGAUCGUGAGGAACGACCUGGUGAAGGGCGAUGCCGCGGUGCUGCCUCCCGAGUUCCUCGAGGCCACCAAGGGCAGGUGCCUCCUAGCGAGCUGGUGCGAGCAGGAGGCGGUGAUGCACCACGAGGCGGUGGGCGCCUUCCUGACGCACUGUGGGUGGAACUCGAUGAUGGAGGGGCUCAGCGCCGGGGUGCCCAUGCUAUGUUGGCCUUUCUUCGCCGAGCAGCAGACCAACUGCCGAUACGCGUGCAUGGAGUGGGGCGUCGGGGUGGAGGUCGGCGACGACGUCCGCCGGGAGGCGGUCGAGGCGAGGAUAAGGGAGGUGAUGGGAGGAGAAGUAGGGAGGGAGAUGAGGAGGAGGGCGGCAGAGUGGAAGGAGGUCGCUUCUCGCUCAACCGCGCAACCUGGUGGCAGGUCGUUGGCCAACCUUGAGAGUCUGCUCAAGGAUGUACUGAAGUGA
RNAcentral lists this ribosomal RNA (1455 nucleotides) under Triticum aestivum (bread wheat). RNAcentral describes it as "partial small subunit ribosomal RNA". Lineage: Eukaryota; Viridiplantae; Streptophyta; Magnoliopsida; Poales; Poaceae. The record is from RNAcentral.